AUUGAACGCUGGCGGCAGGCCUAACACAUGCAAGUCGAGCGAGCGGCGGACGGGUGAGUAAUGUCUGGGAAACUGCCUGAUGGAGGGGGAUCACUACUGGAAACGGUAGCUAAUACCGCAUACCAUCAGAUGUGCCCAGAUGGGAUUAGCUAGUAGGUGGGGGAAUGGCGCACCUAGGCGACGAUCCCUAGCUGGUCUGCGAGGAUGACCAGCCACACGGGAACCGAGACACGGUCCAGACUCCUACGGGAGGCAGCAGUGGGGAAUAUGGCACAAGUGGCGCAAGCCUGAUGCAGCCAUGCCGCGUGUGUGAAGAAGGCCUUCGGGUUGUAAAGCACUUUCAGCGGGGAGGCGUUACCCGCAGAAGAAGCACCGGCUAACGCCGUGCCAGCAGCCGCGGUAAUUC
RNAcentral lists this ribosomal RNA (406 nucleotides) under uncultured bacterium. Its description in RNAcentral is "partial 16S ribosomal RNA". It matches the Rfam family "Bacterial small subunit ribosomal RNA", at positions 29 to 526 of the family's 1533-position model. The record is from RNAcentral.